Non-coding RNA from Calypte anna (Anna's hummingbird), 264 nucleotides. RefSeq annotates it as small Cajal body-specific RNA 6. The transcript has a single exon. The record is from RefSeq and is a predicted model, not a curated record. Lineage: Eukaryota; Metazoa; Chordata; Aves; Apodiformes; Trochilidae.
GGUCUGUGAUGAAUAGUAAAAGGUCUGAUGAUCCUAAGGCUUGUUCUUCCAUGACCUUGUUUCCCAGCAGUUUCUCACCAGUCAUGACACAGUCAUGCUGUGGCUGGCAGAGUGUUUGCUGACAGCCUGUGGUGUGCUCAGCUCAUGUUGACCUCAAGCACUGGAGACAUGACUGGCAUUAGCAUCCAACAGUCUUUACCUGAAGGAAUCUGGGGUCUUGGAUUAUCAUAGCUGGACAUGUGAUCUGACUUUUCUGCUGAGACC